This is a long non-coding RNA of Micropterus dolomieu (smallmouth bass), 1087 nucleotides long. RefSeq lists it as uncharacterized. The transcript has 3 exons. Lineage: Eukaryota; Metazoa; Chordata; Actinopteri; Centrarchiformes; Centrarchidae. The record is from RefSeq and is a predicted model, not a curated record.
ACCUGUCCUGAAGGAUGGAGGAUAUCCUGUGGUACCUGUUAUUUACGCUCUGAUAAGUCUGGUUCUUGGGAUAAAGGCAGAGAGGACUGUAAAGGCAAAGGAGGAGAUCUGGUGGUGAUAGACAGCACUGAAGAACAGAGGUUUCUCUAUACAUUAACCAAUGAAGACACAUGGAUUGGUUUGAGCGACCGAGAAGAGGAAGGGACCUGGAAAUGGAUAGAUGGAACUCCAAAGACUCUGACGUACGGAGCAGUAUGGCAGUCUGAUAAUGGUGGUGGAGAUCCACGUUGGGGCGAAGAGGAUUGUGCACAUUUGAUACCUUACACCAAUGAGUGGAAUGACCGGUCCUGUGAAACUUCUUUGCGAUGGAUCUGUGAGAAAGUAGCCUAAAAUCGGUGUAUGUUUUAAGAGUCUACAUUUGAUAAUGCCUUUUCAAUGUAUGCUAUAAUAAUGCAAGGUGUUUAGAAAUGAUUGUUCUUGUAUGUAGACAUGAGAUCAUGCUGUAGCAAUGUCUCUUAGUUACAGUUCAUCCAAUUUAUCAAAGCCUUUUUCUGAUGUAAAGGUUAAACUUAAUUUGAAAAUACAGUAAAUCAGAAAUCUAAAUCUUUAUGUUGCUUGUAUAAGUACAAUACAUUUCUAUAGUAAACAGAUACAGUAGAAAAAAAUAAACACCCACAAUUACAUUUUCUUAUAUCACUGUAUAUAAUACUGCUGCAAUAUACCACGAGAAUAUUGUUACUCCAACUGAUAUUUCCAGCUGUUCAGGGUGUUGACUUUUAUUUUACCUGGGAGCCUGUGGUCAUCUGUUUUGCAUCAUUACAUGAUGCUGAGUUUUAUAGAGAAUAAUCUCAUGUGUGCACUUCUUGUCAUGGUUUUGGGGUUUUUGUAGUGUUUGGUUUUUCUUGUGGUUUUGUUGACAAGCUUUUCUCGUUGUUUGUUUUCUUGUCCCCCGAGUGUGUAUGUCAUCUUAUCUUAUGUCAUCUGCUCAUUAGUCAAGUUCCCAUUUUACAGAGUGUUAUGACAGCACAUAAGAUAUUACAAGAACAUCUAAGGUAAUGAUUAAUUUGCUCAUACAAUAUACACUCAC